AAAUUGAAGAGUUUGAUCAUGGCUCAGAUUGAACGCUGGCGGCAGGCCUAACACAUGCAAGUCGAACGGUAACAGGAAGCAGUUUGCUGCUUCGCUGACGAGUGGCGGACGGGUGAGUAAUGUCUGGGAAACUGCCUGAUGGAGGGGGAUAACUACUGGAAACGGUAGCUAAUACCGCAUAACGUCGCAAGACCAAAGAGGGGGACCUUCGGGCCUCUUGCCAUCGGAUGUGCCCAGAUGGGAUUAGCUAGUAGGUG
RNAcentral lists this ribosomal RNA (257 nucleotides) under Escherichia coli. RNAcentral describes it as "partial 16S ribosomal RNA". It matches the Rfam family "Bacterial small subunit ribosomal RNA", at positions 1 to 254 of the family's 1533-position model. The record is from RNAcentral. Lineage: Bacteria; Pseudomonadati; Pseudomonadota; Gammaproteobacteria; Enterobacterales; Enterobacteriaceae.